AACGGUCUAUACCUGCGGUACCUGCGGAAGGAUCAUUACCGAGUUUACAAAACUCCCAAACCCUUUGUGAACCUUACCUAUCGUUGCUUCGGCGGGAACGCCCCGGCGCCCUCGCGGCCCGGAACCAGGCGCCCGCCGGAGGCCCCAAACCCUCAUGUCUUUAGUGGUUUCCUCCUCUGAGUGACAUAAACAAAUAAAGUAAAAACUUUUAACAAUGGAUCUCUAGAUCGGAAGAGCACA
RNAcentral lists this unclassified non-coding RNA (240 nucleotides) under soil metagenome. RNAcentral describes it as "partial contains 5.8S ribosomal RNA, internal transcribed spacer 2, and large subunit ribosomal RNA". The record is from RNAcentral.